This is a long non-coding RNA of Anopheles merus, 4807 nucleotides long. RefSeq lists it as uncharacterized. The record is from RefSeq and is a predicted model, not a curated record. NCBI's taxonomy places the organism in Eukaryota, Metazoa, Arthropoda, Insecta, Diptera, Culicidae. The transcript has 3 exons.
GAUGGGCGGUGAUGCAAAAUAAACAAAUUAAUAAAUUCCAAUUUGAUGGGAAUCAUCGGGGAAGGCUCACAAACAGUGUUGUUGAUGAGCGAAGUGGUCAUAAACAUCGAAGUUGCGCGCCUCCUUCCCUCUUUUGGUGGGUGAGUUCGGGUGGAAUGGACACAUUUUGGCACAACUUUGUUUAAUCCCGGCGGUGGGGCGAGAGUUGGGUUGUGUGUGCUGAAAAGAAAUGUAAACGCUUAAAAGAAAAGAACUCGCCUUUUGGUUGUGACGACGACCCCUUAUUUUGCCAUUUUCAAUUCAGGGCAGACAAAUGCCACUCGGCCCCCACUCCCCCAAAGCACGGUGAGGGUCUCUGGGUCUGGUCUGGUGCUGCGUUUUGCGUCGAUGAUGAAACACGACGUUCUUUGUUUGCUGCGGCCGUGGAAUUUAUGCAUUCGUAAACAGAUCGUAAAACCUUGCCCUGCUCUCUCGCCGGUUCGGUUUGUGUUUUUCUCCGGCAGCAUUGUGACGUUGCUGCAGACUCCUCCUUUGCCCGGCUUUUUUUUUCGGGAACUUUCCCGGGAAGGAGGUGUGUUUCGCGCAAUUUAAAUUCAACCACCAACCAAGACGAGAGCAGAAGAGGACUGCUCCAGACACAAACACACAAGAGAGAGUACCACAGAUUGUGGAUCACUGAACCUUCUAAUGAUAGGCCGUAUUAUAAAGCGCACCACCCGAUCCCGCCACUUUCCCGGCAUAAUCCUCCGGGCCCUCUGGCCUCAAACCGUACAGAACACAUUUCGUGGAUAUGCAAAUAAUCUGCCCUCUCUCCUCUCCACAUCCCUUGAGGGGUUCGAAAUUGAAUUGGAUCCAUCCAUGCUUUCUUUUACUCCUUUUUUUCUGGAUGAAGCGCGAGAUUGAAGGCAAGAUUCAUUCCUCACUGCCGUAAAGAUACCUAGAACGUAAAGACAUAGCUCCAAAUUGGUUUCAGCUCUAUUAGGUUGGGCACUCCCGAGGGAGACGAUGUGCGGAUGUGUGUGUGUGUGGGUCUAUAUCCGUUGAUUACCGUAAUCAGUCGAAGAAAGUAAAUUAUGAAGCAAAGUGGCACUUCAGGUGACAUUCCAAAGAGGCAAAGAGAGGAAGAAAAGGAGGAGUAUUCCAAGGCACACUUUGGUAAUCAUUUUCCUUACAUUUCCUUCUGAGGGUACUUUCUGCUUGGUCGUUUUUUUUUUUGUUGCUUACUCAGUGGAUGUCAAGUAAUGCAAGUGUGCCAUGCCUUGCAGGAAAUCCUGUGAUGUAAGAUUGAUUGAUUUUUCGCUUCGCUAUCACCCCUAUAACAGUGUCGCUUUGUCUUUGUGGAAGUAAGUGGGUUGAAUUAAUUCUGUUUUGAGCUCAAAUGAUGAGCAUUGCCAAUGCUCUCGUUGCAGGUUAUCUGAUGUUCCCAUAACUCCUUGCAGAAGAUUGCGCUUUUAGUUUGCAUUGUCUUGUCAUGCUUCCCAGAAAAUGGUUCUUGCCUACCAUCGCAUAAAGGUUUAUCUCUUCAUCUUCCCUCCGACUUGGUGAUUGCAGUGAAAACAAGCAUCUUAAACCAAUCGGAACCUUUGGCCUAUCAAUCGAAAAGAAAUACUUUAAUCAAACCAAUUGCCUCAGAGAGAGAGAGAGAGAGAGUGAGAUGCUUUUACCAUCGGUUUCGUUUGAUCAAAAAACCUCAUCGGCCGGUCGGCUGGAAAUGAAUUGCUGUGAAGAUUUGUAAACACAAUUGUGCACAAGAGCCGAGAAAACGGACCACCCCACCAAGGGGGGAAAACCAUUCAAUGGUGAAGGAGAAAACAACCAACCCAAGAAAAUAAAUCCGAGAAGAAGGGAAAGGUCUCUCAGACGACAACGACGACGACGGCGUUAUUGAGCUGUAAAUCUUCGUUUUGUCAUGUGCCCGUCCAAACCAAACAUUGCGAAACGGAUGGGCCUUUUAUCGAUUGAUCCCUGGACCGGACUGCCAGCCUCCAGCUAUUGUGUGUGUGUGUAGUCCCGUACAUACACGUUUCCCAUGCCCUUUUUAGCCUGUAUCCGGAUGCGGGGAGGGGAAAGGAGAAGACGACGUCAUCCAGGCGAGUAAACCGAGAAUUACAAGGCCGACCGAUGCUAUGCUCCGCUGAACACUUUUGGCACCUUUUGCCUUUGAUGGGCCGGCACUGGGUCGAGACACACACAUCCACCGACCACCAUACAGGACAUCUGGAGUGGGGGGUAAAGGUUGUACUCAAUACACAGCACUAGCAGCGUUGUUGUCCAUCCCUCGGGUUCUCUGGUAAUACGUUGCGCUACUGGAACUGCCACUACGCGAGUCCCUUACCCGGAAGCUGUGCCUGCUAUCGCCAUUGUAUCGUCACUCACGCAAAACGGCCCUCACAAUGUUCUUCAGCGUCGAUACACCACGGCGAGCGGGGGCUCGUGACUGACGCCCCAGGUCGUCAUCCGGACGGGAUCCUAGGUCCAGGAUGUGGAUCAAACUUCACUGCAAUAGCAAAAGGGCGCGCGAUGCGCGACAGACGAAUUCUUCACCAACCUUCAUAGUCAUAGAAGUGGUUGGAGGGGGGCAACCCCUGAGGGAGCAGCCCUUACCACACGUCGUGUUUAUUCGAUGCCGCCCUCAGGAUGAAACGCGUUGACAACGAGCGGGACAAAUGUGUAUGACCCUACCGUGGUGUGGGGUAAGGCCCGAGCUCAAGCUCGAGCUCUCGUGAGCUUGACAGCUUGCAAGUUGCCGGCAGCAGCGGCAUGGUUGUAGUAAAACACAUCGCUCGAACGCGCUCGGUUGACACUUUCAGGAAUCCAGCUUUACGACGAUGUGUGUUGCGACUAGUUUGAGAGCAGAGGGAGGGAGAGAUAGAGAGAGAGAAAAAAGGAUAUUGGGCCCGAUUCACGUGCCGCAGAAGAUUCAUCUCGAAUCGAAUUACAUGAAUGCUUCACAUAGAAGAAAGACAAAAUACGACACACCGAACUCUCUCCACCACCUGCAGGGACGAUCUUUCAGCAACAUCCUUCUCUUGAACCAGUUGGAACAGUCUUGCUGAUUUUGGCUCUCUUUCUUUUUCAAAAGCGACAAAACGAACACCGGAAAACAACAACGGACCACAAACGGAUGCCACCGUUGCACACGUGUACAGUUUGAGUUAGUUGAUAAGCUUUUAAAUUGAGAUAGGACAGGAAGGGGGGUACUUCCAGCAGACAGGAAAUAGAUAGGGUUAAGGGGCUUGCCCGGCUGCUCGCCUUAGCGUACAACAGGCCCGUUCUCCUCUCCUUUAGUAGGUAUUCUUCGUUCCCUUUGUUCUGCUUUUGCUUUCCCUCUCAUUGCUGCAGCUUUUAUUUUGUACGAGUUUUUACGUUUUUACUAUUACUAGCCCUCAAAAUACAUUAAUUAAGUGAUCUGCGUGUCGGCGAAACAAUACUGAGCCGCUUGUAUGUAAUCCGUGCCGGAGAUAUCGUGUAAGUGUUAGCGCAGCGUACCAAAGAUUUUUAUACGCAAAAACGGACGACAUUCGUUACGCGCGCGUGCGCAAACGCGCGUUUGCUUUGCGCGAAUAGACGAUUGAAUUGUUUUCUCAAAACAGAGCAUACAAAGCUCUACACUAAACCCCACUACUAAACCCGCUUUAGAUAGCAAAGGGGGUUUUUAAACGUUUAUUUACUCUAUAAUAUUCUCACAUUGCUUAGGCUACCCAUCUAACAACGCGCAAUAGACACUUUUGUUUCAUUUAUUUUUAAUUCAGGAAAUUCAGGUGUUUGUCGUAAUUUAAUAACGUAGAGACACAACACACAACAUUCCCGACGCCAAUUAGCUGCAAUAGAAAGCUGUGUAAAUCACAUCACAUCCUUAUACCAUUUUGCUUUUAAGAAUAACAUACACAUCCACACAGUGCAAUAGACAGAGAGAGAGAGAGAGGGAGAGCGCGAGAGACACAUACACACAUACAGUAGUGAAGAAACAGAAUCAACAAUGCAACAACAAUGCAACAAUACAACAAAAUCAAUCAUAUCACCAAAUAAAAUAAGAAAUAGAAAAGAGAAAGAGAGAGGGAGAAAGAAACGCAAGUAAUAGUAAACAAAAACACAAUAACAUACACACAAAAUACUCCCUUAGGGCCAGUCAGUGCACAAUAGAAAAUAAGUGAAACAACAAGACUCAGAGAGAAAGAGAGAGAGAGAGAGACAGGGUGGCAGUUUUCCCCAGUAGCAGCAGCAGCAGCAGCAGCAGCAACAGAAGGUGUAAAGAGAUUGUGAGGAAGAAGUGUUGUUUGUUUGAACAUUAAUUUCGUUAGCGGCGGGCCCCCAACCAUUUCGAUUGCUGCUGCGGUCCUGUUUUUUCCCUUCUUCCCUUCCUUCCUUCUUUUUUUACAAGGUUGAUUACAAAUACACCCACCGCUCGCUCAGUGACUUUUGUAAAGGUAAAAGGUAAUAUGGGAGCACACCCCACACACACAGAAAACUAAGCUUCAGUAGGCUUUGGGGCAUUUGGGCCGCCUUUCCAUCAAAAUCCCGCCGAAACCACUGCACAAACCUUUUUCUCGUAGCGCAGAAACAGAUGAGAGAGAACAUGAGAGAGAAUGAGAGAGAUUCAUCCCCUUCUCAUCGAACUGUACUGUGCAUUUUAAGCUUUUGUGGUGAAUGAGGUUAAUUUAGUUACGCUUUUGCGGGUUCGAGCUCUCCGUGGAGCCCUUCGUUCGUGCUGUUCUUUUUUUAUCCCCAUCGUCCUCUUUCUCUCUCUCUCUCGCUCUCCCCCCGUUUCGAAGGGAUAUCGUUCCUUAAUAAGGGCACCGCGAGGGCA